This 76-nucleotide transfer RNA is filed under the name Vibrio phage Ceto. RNAcentral describes it as "tRNA-Asn". It matches the Rfam family "tRNA". From Rfam's summary of the family: Transfer RNA (tRNA) molecules are approximately 80 nucleotides in length. The record is from RNAcentral. Lineage: Duplodnaviria; Heunggongvirae; Uroviricota; Caudoviricetes; Demerecviridae.
GGGGAAUUAACUCAGUGGUUAGAGUGGCGUCCUGUUAAGUCGCUGGUCGGUGGUUCGAGUCCACCAUUCCCCGCCA